UUCUGGUUGAUCCUGCCGGACCUGACUGCUAUCGGAUUGAUACUAAGCCAUGCUAGUCUUUGUAGUAAUACAAGGCAUACGGCUCAGUAACGCGUAGUCAACCUACCCUAUGGACGGGGAUAAUCUCGGGAAACUGAGCAUAAUACCCGGCAGACCACUUAUCCUGGAAUGGUUAGUGGUUAAAAUGAUUCGUCGCCAUAGGAUGGGACUGCGGCCUAUCAGCUUGUUGGUGAGGUAAUGGCCCACCAAGGCGAUUACAGGUACGGGCUCUGAGAGGAGAGGCCCGGAGAUGGGUACUGAGACAAGGGCCCAGGCCCUAUGGG
This 323-nucleotide ribosomal RNA is filed under the name uncultured marine group I thaumarchaeote. RNAcentral describes it as "bacterial SSU rRNA". It matches the Rfam family "Archaeal small subunit ribosomal RNA", at positions 1 to 329 of the family's 1478-position model. The record is from RNAcentral. Lineage: Archaea; Thermoproteati; Nitrososphaerota.